GUGUGAAGGGUUGGAGUAAGAGUGAUAGGGUAAGAGUGAGACGCGAUGCUAAAGCUACGUUGUUAGGGGUUGGGGUAGGGGUCAUAGGUUAGAGUGAGCUUUAGGUGGUAUGUUAUGGUUGGGUGUGAGGGUUUUAGGGGGAGGUUAGCUUGUUGGUACAGGGGUUAGACUAUUGCAAAGGAAAGGUUUAGGUGUUAUGAUUAGGUUGUAGAUCUAUGGUAAUGUCAGGGUACAGGUAGGGUUAGGUGUAAGGAUGAGAUUAGAGAUUGAGAUGUUGGGGUAAGGUUAGGGGUGAAUUUAUUCAGGGUAAAUUGUUGGUUGUCAGGGAAGGGGAAGGGUUAUGGCUUACAGUUAUAAAUGAUGGUCAGGGUUAGUUCAAUUUAGGGUUGUAUUAAUAGUUAUAAUUUGGACUUACAAAAAAUAUUGAUAUAAUGCCAGCCUCCUGUGACCAUCCUGAUAAUCACAGUUACGUUUAACAAUGAUCAGUUUGGCUAUAGCUGGGCAGCCAUUGAUUAUGAAAUACGGCCUUGGUUUUACUACUGACCGACGCUCAUCAACUUGAAGAAUCCGGUUGGAGGUUAAUCAACAAACAUAUUUUCUGAGAAAAGCCUUCCCUUCAGAUUUCUAUCAAUCUUUUAUCAUUGUUACUCGGAUAAAACUCCUUUGAUUGUUACAUAUUCCUUGGGUGCAGCCAUUAUGAAAUUGUAUGUGAUACCAAUUGUAUUUCAUGAACUGAGAUCCCCUCCCCGGGAUGCUGAUUGGUCAACGUUUGGGUCAAGGCUUUCAACAGAAUCUCCUGAGAAUAACAGAAUGUGAUCGAGAUGAAUCACAUGGCUAAUAAAAUGCAAAAACGUAGAAGACACUCACCUAUCUCAUUCCUGCAGUUAUCCUAUUCCCAUAUUCUCUGAUUGCGUUGGAUACUAUUCCAGUUGCUCCAAUAUUGAUUCCAUGGUUUGAUGGUUCUCAGCCGUCUCAACAUUGGAUUGCAGUGUUUGCCGAAUCCCAAAUCAUUUCUUUGGGGAUCGGACAAGUUUGAACAGUUAUACCAUGCAGCCCCUUUGAGAACCACUCCCAUAACUGAGGCAGCCAGUCAGGCUCUCAGGACUCUCCCCCUCUCGAGUCACAUCAUUCAGAGCACCCUUCCUCCCGGAGUCCUUGUACGAGUCUGUAACUAGAAGAAGGAGAGUAUGAAUACUUUUGUUAAAUCUACAACGAUUAACUAUCUUACGUUUUUGGGGUGGAUCAAGAACUACGCUCAGAGUCGUACAGAUAAACAGACGCCAUCUCUGCUUACAGUCAAUUUAGAGCCUGUUCAUAAUCGACCAGUCAAUCCAAUCCAGUGGUUGGUCUACUCUCAGACUAAUAAUAGAAAGUCACUCUGUAAAACCAUUAAAGCAUUGAACUUGUAAUCAAUGUAUUGGUCUGAUCUGCUGAACAUGCAAUAUAUCAGGCCACUCUUCCUUUCUCUCUCUCUGUAUCUCUCUGUCGCUCUCUCUCUCCUCCUGUAUUCCUCUCUCUUUUCUUAUAUGUACUCUUAUUUAACAAAGCUUGUGCUGAUUUGUUUCAAAGCAAUCUCCACCUUGUAUCUGGUUGAUUUUAGGGGCCUCUCUAUUCCUUGGAUUUGUUUGAAUAAUUGAAAAUGAUUUAGUUUGUUUUGUAAAACUCAACUCUAAGAAAAUCAUGUCGGCCUCACAAUGAGGUCAUCAAGAAAAUGGACCACGUUGAAUACACGUGGAAAAGAGUGUCUGUGAGGUUGGUAGCGGGUCCAGGGCCAACAUGUGGUCCGCAGCUGCUUCGUCAGGAGAAAAUAAAGAAGGAACCUCAAGCAAUGACUUGGAAGGUAAGUCCCCAUUUCUACUGCAUGUAUAUUGAUGAACCGCGUUGGAUAACUAAAAGCUGUAGAGGAGGACAAUAGUACAUCAAAUUAAAGAAAUCGAUUGUUAUCUAACCCAUUUUAUGAAGAAACGGAACAGAGUCAAACAAGAUGAAACAUAAUAACGACGUACAGUAUGACGUAUUAACCUGAAUCCGGGCAGCGGUCCCCUCUUCCAUUGAGGUUUGGCUGGGUUUGUAGUACGAGCAUUGAUUGACUCUGAGCUGCAUCUCCGAUCAAUAAGCUGCCCUCCCCGAGGUUGUAAACCCUUAUCUGUUUCCUCAGAUCCUCCAAUGCUGUGCGGGCAUCGACCCGUUGUCACUGUCGGGCUGCGCUGCAUACAGAUGUGUGGCCUGGGACGGAAAAGGUCAGGGUUCACUUGUGGUAGUGGCGAGACAUUAGACCUGGUUCGAGUGUUGUGGUGCCAGAUGGCUUUUGGGCGGAGUGGGAGCAAUUGACCAAGAUGUUUCCCUGAUUCCUCAUCCACGUGUUCAGACAAUGCAGUAGCGUUAAGAAACACCAAUCGAAAUCACAUUACCUCGCGCCAUGUAUCAUUAGCUGCAAACCGUACAAUAAACUGUCUUCCAACACCAACACCCAGCGUCCUCGUGUUUGGAGCCAUGCACCUCAGAGUCCGCAUCUCAACACAAAUGUAGUCACAUUAAUAACUACAUUUACUAUCAGUUCAUUUUAAGCGGUAAUUGAGUACAGUGCACACUUAAAGCGGGCAUGAAACGGCCUAGUGUUGACGGGUAUUGUACAGAAUUAAGUCUGUUGGAGUGUUUCCCGAGGAUGUUUUUGAUGUAAAACGUUUACACGUUAAAUUCGAAGAGAUUUGCCGUUGGCGAUAAUGUAUACUCUCGCCGGCUUGCCGCCACACCGCCGCUGCGUCACGGACUGAGUCGUGAGGUUGGUAAGUUGGAAAGUCAGCCCAGGAAGAAGACCUUCACGCUACAACCUCUCACAUUCAGAGUGCACAUGGCCGAAGACUCCUCCAAAGUUAUUUGGAGGAGACAACCAGUGGCUUACACAGUUGAGCCAGUGAGGAGGGAAAGAUGAGCCUCAAACUCGCGUUUGUACAGAGGACAAAGCAGAGCCAUCCGUUCCCCUCGGUGCGGAUGGGGUUGACCACACCACCUGCUGCUCGUGUGGUCUCUGCACUUAAAGACCAACCGCUCGCGCUUCGAUCCGCUGUCAGGAGGCUUGCGUAGACCACUUGCUUCAGGAGUUAGCCUGGCCCGUAUUUACCAGACCUGCUAUGAAAGGGAUGUAUUGGCAGUGUCCAUGCUCAUUGCUCUCCCUUCGAGAAGUCUGAGCAGAGACCCUGGAGCGGCCCAUCCAAUAACGGUCGUUUAGCUACCUUAGCUAGCCUAGUUUCUGGGUUAGCUAUCCCAGAAACUAUAGCUAUUUAGCCUGUACGACGGUGUAGUGCAGGCUAAAUAACGGUUCAAUGUUUAAAACGUCGGUAUGAAUCUCUCAUUGAGUCACUAAUUAUAGGUGACUCAUCAGUAGGUAACGACCUCUCUGGCUGUCAGAUGGGCGUGCCGUUGUGCAAUUUCCUCCCGGCGCACACCUAUUGAACUGCUAGCAGACACGGAUGGAAGGUCGGUACACCCAGCCUUGUACGAGGAAAAGUCCAUAACACAGUGAGCAGCCGCAGACUUCAGCUUGCUGGUCCCGCGAACCCUCCUCUCCUCACAACCCCUCUCCCCCACAGAGGCGCCGUUUACGUAGUGCUCACUUCACUACACCUCACAGCUAGCUGGAGGGUUCUGCUGUUUCAGUGCCGCUGGCCAACGUUGAAGAACCAUUUGCCGCUUGAGAGACAAAGCAUGAAAGUGGAAACCGAUCUUGGUUUUUGGACUCUGCAUAUGAAUCAUUGCUG
Gadus macrocephalus (Pacific cod) is the source of this 3758-nucleotide long non-coding RNA. RefSeq lists it as uncharacterized. Lineage: Eukaryota; Metazoa; Chordata; Actinopteri; Gadiformes; Gadidae. The record is from RefSeq and is a predicted model, not a curated record. The transcript is spliced from 2 exons.